RNAcentral lists this ribosomal RNA (484 nucleotides) under uncultured bacterium. Its description in RNAcentral is "partial 16S ribosomal RNA". It matches the Rfam family "Bacterial small subunit ribosomal RNA", at positions 30 to 507 of the family's 1533-position model. The record is from RNAcentral.
AUUGAACGCUGGCGGCAGGCCUAACACAUGCAAGUCGAGCGGAUGAAGGGAGCUUGCUCCUGGAUUCAGCGGCGGGCGGGUGAGUAAUGCCUAGGAAUCUGCCUGGUCGUGGGGGAUGACGUCCGGAAACGGGCGCUAAUACCGCAUACGUCCUGAGGGAGAAAGAGGGGGAUCUUCGGACAUCGAGCCAUCAGAUGAGCCUAGGUCGGAUUAGCUAGUUGGUGGGGUAAAGGCCUACCAAGGCGACGAUCCGUAACUGGUCUGAGAGGAUGAUCAGUCACACUGGAACUGGGACACGGUCCAGACUCCUACGGGAGGCACCAGUAGGGAAUAUUGGACAAUGGGCGAAAGCCUGAUCCAGCCAUGCCGGGUGUGUGAAGAAGGUCUUCGGAUGGUAAAGCACUUUAAGUGGGGAGGAAGGGCAGUAAGUUAAUACCUUGCUGUUGUGACGUUACCAACAGAAUAAGCACCGGCUAACUUCGUG